RNAcentral lists this long non-coding RNA (6383 nucleotides) under Sus scrofa (pig). RNAcentral describes it as "lncRNA (ENSSSCG00015053362.1)". The record is from RNAcentral. Lineage: Eukaryota; Metazoa; Chordata; Mammalia; Artiodactyla; Suidae.
UUUUUUCAUGGUGUGGCAGGCCAUUAGCCACUGUUGGCGGUGGGGUGGGGGGUGGUUUUAUUAUCUCUUCAGGAACACUGGGAAACCAGCUGUGGAAGGAAGGACAGUAAAGUCAUAAUGGAGCAGGAAUAGACUCUAAGAUUCAGCAAAGCUACCACCCAGCCCAGCAGCCCAGCUAUCUUGGGAAAGGGGAACAGGAGGUGGAUAGGAAGGAGCAAGGUCAGGGGAGGGUCAGGAGAAAAUUUUGUGUUUUUUUUGUCUUUUUGUCUUUUCUGGGGCCGCACCUGCGGCAUAUGGAGGUUCCCAGGCUAGGGGUCUAAUCAGAGUUGUAGCCACCGGCCUACAUCACAGCCACUGGCAACGCCAGAUCUGUGCCAAGGCUGCAAUCUACACCACAGCUCACGGCAAUGCCGGAUCCUUAACCCGCUGAGCAAGGCCAGGGAUCAAACCCACAACCUCAUGGUUCCUAGUUGGAUUCGUUGACCACUGAGCCACGGUGGGAACUCCUGAGAGAUAAUUUGGUAUUCUACAAUUCACUCAUUGAAAACACACAACUCAGUGGCUUUUUUAGUAUGUUCUUGGAGUCUUUGUCAUGCCAAAAAGACGCCAUGUACCUCUUGGUCAUCAUUUUCUGAUUCCUCUGUCCUCCUCGGCCCCCCAAACUCUAGGCAACCAUGGUCUCCUUUCUCUCUCUACAGAUUCUUCCUGUUCGGGAUAUUUCAUAGAAAUAGACUCAAUAUAAUGUGCAGGGUGUUGUUUCUGUCCUCUUUUGCUGAGCAGAAUGUCUUCAGGGCCCCUUCAUGUUGUAGCAUUUAUCAGGACUUUAUUCUUUUUUGUUGCUAAAUAAUAUUCUGUUGUAUGGACACAUCAUAUUUUUACUUUUAUAAAUAAGAGAAAGGAAAAGAGAAGAGGAAGGGAAGAGAAAGCUAAAGGGAAUGAGACAAGUAAGAAUCCUUCCCAAUUUAAAGUGGACGGAACAGGCCCUGCUGUGAGAAGCAAACCCAUCAUCCCUCUUGAGGACUUGUAACCAAAGGCAAAGGUAAAUAGGACACUUGGCAUCUGUGGCUUCAUGAGCCAUUUGUAGCCCAGUGGCAGCUCUUGUGACCUGGACGUGUGCAGCAUUCAGGGAGCUCAUUGUGCACAUCUUGUGUGUUGGCCAGUGUCAUUGCCCCUACAAUACCUCGUGUGGAAACGGAGAGGCCUUUGCUGAUCUAAUCUGGAUACAUUUCCCUUGGUUACUGCAGCUCUGUGUCCCCAGAGAGUCCUCGCUAAAGAGCUGCCAGUUUGUUGAGUGCUGGCAGCUGCAAGAUUAUUCCUGACUGUCCGAUUUGUUCAGUGGAGAUGACACCCAUCUUUCAGGUCCUGAUCCAUUGGCCAGAAAUAGCAACCGUCAUUCCCAUAUUUUUGGAAUGAGUGCUUACCCUAAGGUCCCCUGUCCGUCCUUCUCAGCGUAGUGUUCAGAGGGCCCUUUUAGCUAGCCAUGUGCCCUUCCGGGCUCCAGGUAGCUUUACUGUGGUCCCGUUGCUUUCUCUUGCUUUCUUUCCUGGUUUACCUGCCAAGGAACAGAGAGUCCUGACCUUCAUGAAAUGAAUGGUCAGGGUUAGGGCUGUUAGUUGCAGCACCUUUCAGCGUGUGGCUGGCUUUCCACUGUGUCUGAACUUUCAGGAUAGUUCAGAGAGUGGCUUGUUAUCACUUGUCCUAAUCCCCUGGCUCUUCUGUGGCACGUCUCCCCUAACGCGGGAACAAGAACCAGGGUAGGCAUCAGAGGAGGUGUGGCCCUCAGGUCGUAAAUCAGGUGUCAGAGCUGGAUUUCGUCACGGUGCCCUUGUGCUGCAGGUGGGGAAACUGAGUCCAGAGAGGUGAGGUGACUUACCCAAGGCUUAUAUUCGUGGAGCUCUUGCCAGUGGCAGAGCUGCGUGUGUGACACCAAGCCCUUACUCUCAGUUCAGUGCUUUUCCUUAGUGUGACACUGUGACCUGGUGGAUGCACUCAUGAUUAGAGGGCGGCUUAGGCUCGCUCCACGCCAUCAGCAGCAUGGGCUUUAAGGUGUAUGUGAGGCUUUGACGGGUGGGGGCUGUGAUGGGGAAAAUCUAGAAGCGAGAAAGAGCGAGAGCACCGGUGGAUGAGUUUGGGUGCCACCAAGGGAAAGAACCCAGCUCCUUGGGCCUUCCCCAGGGCGCCGUGUCCGAGGGGCGUACGUGCUUUUGAUUACAUGGUUGUGAUUCCUGAGAGCCCCGGGUCUGCUUGCCAGGAAAUCUGUAUGCUGCUGCUCCCGCCCAACAAACGGUCGCCCUGUGGUGCCUGCCUGGAAAGGUUUGCGUGUGGCUGUGGCUCUGUGCACGGGCUGACUUUGGCCUGAUGGGGCCUCGCCUCCCAGCACCCCUGUGCCAGGACCCUAACCCAGCCAUGCAGUGUGACCCAAACUGCUGGGACCAGGACUAAAAGCAGCGCCUCCCUGCACAGUGGAACACAAGCUGCGUGGAAGUUCCCUGCUGAGACCCGCCCCCCCCAGAACUGUCCCCUCCUCCUCAUCACUUCGCUGUCGCUUCUGAGUCACAUCCUCUCUCAGCCCUGUGUGCUCCGCAUGGGAGGUUGUGUCCGUCACUCUCCCCUGCUCAGCAGGUAGAAAGCCAUCUUUGGCAUAUUCUCGUGUUGUGACGGGCUGGGCAAGGGGCAGAACCGCUCAUACUGUUGACAGCUGGCAGCGUGAUUUCUCUUCAGAAGUUGUUUCAUAGGCCUCAGUGAUAAUUUAUCGUGACAGCCACUGUUUAUUGAAUGCUUACCGCACAUGAGUGCUGUGCUGAGUACACGUGUACACACCCCCUCAGUUCCUCACCAUUCCUCCAGCUCUCCCUCUCAGGCAGACGGAAGAAGCCGAGUCUGAAGCAUCUGAGCUUUGGGGAGGUCUGGGUCACAGAGCUGGAAAGCGGUGGAACAGGUAUUUAAACUGAGGCCUGUCUGACACUGAAGCCUGUGUUUUUAAUAACCACGCGGAACCUCCUUGAGUAGUUAAUUUGCUGAACAUUCCUGCGAAAGGGAGCUGAGUCACUUGUGCUCCCUGGGAUUUAUAAAUGAGACGUCUGUGUUAGUGAAGGGCGUGCGUAGCACAGUGUGAUUAGAUUUGGCUUUGGGAUGGCAGAGCAGGAACAAAGGGGAGACUUAAGCAGCCUCUGCCACUUCCUGGAGCUGGUUUGCUUUGGCCCAGCGUUGAGGAGUCUUUGCUCUGAGUCCACGGUGGUUUCAGGUCACUCCUGGCCGAGGCGGUUCCUGAGAGGUCGGGAGGCAGUGCUUCCAGAUUGUUUAGAGUGGGCCUUGCCCUGACUCCCGGGCCGCACUAAGGUGGGCUCAACCUGUUCCCUGCACUGGCUUGGUUUCUUGAAGUCCUCCUGGUUUAGUCAUUCAGCAAGAGGCUUUCUCUUCAGUUUUACUUUGGUUCUGUGACAUCUCCUCCUCCCUUCAGGGUUGUGGACUUGAGGAUUUAGUUGGAGUCGUACCUAAGAACAGAGGGAAUGCCGUUGCAGCGGCUCUUGGCGAUCCGUCCUGUGAAGUCCUCGUGUGUACUGGAGAUGGGGGGCCACCUCUCUCAUACUCUGCUCGGAGCUUAAGCAUUUUGUGUAUAUCCUUGAAAUGGGGGAGAGAAACUUCUCAGGAAUGAAGAGUGGUCGACGGUAAUAAGAUUUUGAGGAGCCAGGCCUUUCUCCAUUCUCCCUUGGGGGAGGAAUGCAGCCAGGAUUGAAGGGCAUUGCCUCAACCAAUUCGGUUAAGUGCCCUGUCCUGGCUUAAUAACUCGGGCAGACUUCCCGGUGGAUUUGGCAAGGUAUUGGAUUUCUCUCUCCCCAGACCCUCCCUUCUCUCUGCUCUGCACAUGUGUGCUAACGCAAUUCCAGAGAGGUUGCUUCUUGCAAUAAGAUAGCCUCUUUGCAAAGGAGGGGGCUCCUCUUAAAGAAGAAGGAGAGAAAUUCAGAGGGAAGGUGAUUGUCAGAGUUUGAGCAGCUACUGGCAGGCCGGGUUCCUCUGUAAGGGCAGGUGGGCAGGAGGGAGGGUGGCGGGUGAUUCCCAGCACGGAGAGCAUGAGCAUUUGCCGCUAAUGCUGUGCUAGAGAAAUUUCAAGCUGGCUUUUUGCACUCGUUCAUCCAGAUUGUGUCACUGAGAAUCUGGUCAUUAAAGAACAAGAGCUGUUGUUGUUGAUGAAGGUCAGAGGUUCCAGUCGUCUGAUCUGGUGGUCAAGUGUUCAGAAAUACUUUACAGUUUUAGUUGAAAACCUGAGCAGAUGUUCUCGCUGUUGUUUACCCGUGGGGAUCCUGGGGAUCUGGCGACGAGGACAUUCUUCUCCCCUCGCCUCUUCCCCACCCCUUUGGGAACCGACCAAUCACGUCGAGGAAUGGAUUUCAGUGCCUCUCUGGCCUCUUCCCAUAAGGAGUGUGCCCAGCGCAGCUCCUGGGUGUGUUUAACUCCUGGGUGCCUGAAACACAGUGAGCGGUGACAUUGUAGUUAGCUCGUGCUGUUGUUUGCGUUGACUCCCUGAACCCAUUUAAUGUUAAGUAAGCUUGCCCUGUCCCCGAGGGAAGGUUCCAAUGAGGCAAGGUACACGCAUGGAGCCUGAAGAGGCUGAUUUUUUAAGCCUAAUUCUGCCAGUAACCAGCAGCAUGACCUUGGGAGCGUUACUUUCCCUACUUGGCCUUGAUGCCCUUUCUGCCAAGUUAGAGGGAAAGGGGAGGGAGAGAACGAACAUUUAUGAUGUAGCUAGAUAGGCCAGCCACCAGCCGCAUUCCUAGUCUUAUGUAUGGCUGUCCUGGGGCCUGGGAGAAGCAUUUAACCUGUAUCGAGUGCCUGUUCUGAAGCAGUUUGCCUUUUACAUUCACUCAGUUUUAUAGAUGAGAGGCGUGAAGGCUCGAGAGGCUGUCCAGCUUGCCCAAGGUCAAGUAGCCAGGAAGGCCCAUCUGGUUCUAAUGCCCAGACUGUCUUCCAUUCCACUGGGUUGGCUAUUAAGGCCCUAAAAUCCUCCAGCAUUUUCCUUCUAAUAUUCUGAAAGCUUUAACUCCUUCAUAGCUUUUAGCUCGGCCCUGUAGAAGGACCAGACCUACUGUCUCCCCUUUCACAGCCCUGAUAGGAGAGCAGGUGAAUGACUUGGAGAUUCCUGCCGUCACCUGAAAGCAGCCAAAGAAGAUGGUGCAGCCAUUGGUUUUCUUUCUGCAUCAUAGAAAAGUUCUCACUCCUUGUAGCCAGCAUCUCCCGCAUCCUCAGCAUCCCCCUUCUCUACUGCAGGUGGAGGUGUUUUUGUUUCUCUUUACCUUGUGUUUGUUAUUGUCAGGUAAGUAUCGCUGGUUUAAGGGAGGGGUGGAAUUUUGAGGAGACUGGGGAAAAAAAAACAAACAAACCUUCUUUACUCUGAGCUCUUCUGUGACAGAGAGUUGCGGUGUUGGGCUCACCCCCACACAGAGUGGCUGUGAUUCUUUAUCCUCUGUUAGACGCGCCCCCUUUCCGGGAGCUCGACUUUUCCCUACAGUCUCUUAUCAGUUUUCUUAGCCAUCUGAUUUAGCGACAUCUUGCCCUGUGGAAAACUUUGUGUUUCUCUUCCUGCAAAUUUUACUUUUUUUUUUUUUUUAAUUUUUUUUAAAUUUUUUUGUCUUUUUGCCUUUUCUAUGGCCGCUCCCGUGGCACAUGGAGGUUCCCAGGCUAGGGGUCUAAUCAGAGCUGUAGCCGCUGGCCUAUGCCAGAGCCACAGCAAUGUAGGAUCUGAGCCACGUCUGCGACUUACACCACAGCUCACGGCAAUGCCAGAUCCUUAACCUACAGAGCAAGGCCAGGGAUCGAACCCGCAACCUCAUGGUUCCUAGUUGGAUUCGUUAACCACUGCGCCACGACGGGAACUCCAAAUUUUACUUUUAAAUUCACGGAGAAAAUAGCUUCCUUUAGGCAUGCUCUAUUGACAAUCUGUUACCAGUUUAAAAUAAAUUACAGUAGUAGCCCUAAAAUGUCAGGUUUGUUAAGGAGUCAUUUUCUGUCUUUUUGUGGUGGGCUGAGAAAAACAAUGAUAAGCAAAUCUGUAAACAACUAUGAAUUCUUAAGCCAGGCAGUGACCUAGGUGCUUUAUGUAUGUUAUUUCUGAUGUUCAUAAUACCCCACACUUAUAGAUGAAGAAAUAGGUUUAAGAGAAGCUACUUGCUCAAGGUCAUAGCUAGUGAGUGGUAAUUUAGCACUUUUGUUCCAGAUCUUUUUCACUUCCAAUCUUUCUUUCUUCAGUAUGAUGCUGCCGCUGUAAAAUGAUCUUGGGAGUUUAUUUAAUCAUCCCUGCCCAGACCUCAGCUCUGAUCACCCCAGAAAGUCCAUAUGCCUUCUUUUAAAAAGGGAAGUUACCAUUUUACAUGAUAAACUUCACAGUU